GGAGUUAGCCGGUUCUUCUUCUGUGAGUGAUGUCCUUCCUGCCGGCUAUUAACCCGCAGGCCUUCUUCCUCACUGAAAGUGCUUUACAACCCGAAGGCCUUCUUCACACACGCGGCAUGGCUGGAUCAGGGUUGCCCCCAUUGUCCAAUAUUCCCCACUGCUGCCUCCCGUAGGAGUCUGGGCCGUGUCUCAGUCCCAGUGUGGCUGAUCAUCCUCUCAGACCAGCUACGGAUCGUCGCCUUGGUGAGCCGUUACCUCACCAACCAGCUAAUCCGACAUAGGCUCAUCCGAUAGCGCGAGGCCCGAAGGUCCCCCGCUUUCCCCCGUAGGGCGUAUGCGGUAUUAGCCUGGGUUUCCCCCAGGUUAUCCCCCACUACCGGGCAGAUUCCUAUGCAUUACUCACCCGUCCGCCGCUCGCCACCAGGGAGCAAGCUCCCCGUGCUGCCGCUCGACUUGCAUGUGUUAGGCCUGCCGCCAGCGUUCAAUCUGAGCAGANCAACUACUGA
RNAcentral lists this ribosomal RNA (506 nucleotides) under uncultured bacterium. Its description in RNAcentral is "partial 16S ribosomal RNA". The record is from RNAcentral.